Molecule: small RNA, 1087 nt
Filed under: Pongo abelii (Sumatran orangutan)
Lineage: Eukaryota; Metazoa; Chordata; Mammalia; Primates; Hominidae
Description: processed transcript
Source: RNAcentral
GCCGGGACCGCUGACCUUGCGCUUUGUGCGGCUCCAGGCCUCCGAGUGGACUCCAGAAAGCCUGAAAAGCUAUCAUGGCAGCAAGGCCCAAGCUUCACUAUCCCAACGGAAGAGGCCGGAUGGAGUCCGUGAGAUGGGUUUUAGCUGCCGCCGGAGUCGAGUUUGAUGAAGAAUUUCUGGAAACAAAAGAACAGUUGUACAAGUUGCAGGAUGGAUUGACAUGUACGUGGAGGGGACGCUGGAUCUGCUGGAACUGCUUAUCAUGCAUCCUUUCUUAAAACCAGAUGAUCAACAAAAGGAAGUGGUUAACAUGGCCCAGAAGGCUAUAAUUAGAUACUUUCCUGUGUUUGAAAAGAUUUUAAGGGGUCAUGGACAAAGCUUUCUUGUUGGUAAUCAGCUGAGCCUUGCAGAUGUGAUUUUACUCCAAACCAUUUUAGCUCUAGAAGAGAAAAUUCCUAAUAUCCUGUCUGCAUUUCCUUUCCUCCAGGAGUACACAGUGAAACUAAGUAAUAUCCCUACAAUUAAGAGAUUCCUUGAACCUGGCAGCAAGAAGAAGCCUCCCCCUGAUGAAAUUUACGUGAGAACUGUCUACAACAUCUUUAGGCCGUAAAACAACGCAUCCAUGUGUGAGUGAGAGCGUGUUCCUAGAGAUGGUUCUGUCUACGGUCAUGUCUUAAUGGAUCCCAGCUCUGUCAUGGUGCUAUGUAUUAAGUUGGGUCCUAAGUUGGGUCUUUUGUGUCAAAGAGAUCAUCUCUUCUAGAAAUAUCAACCUUUUUUGUCCAGUAAAUAAUUGUUAGGGGAUCUUUUUUGGAAAACUUUUUUGGAGAGGCUGGUAUCGGGCUACUCAUGUACUGUAGCCAGUUCAUCCUCCUAAUAAGAAUGGGCAGCAUCUCUUGUUCUCUCCUGAGCGUCUUUCUGCUCUCCUUAUCUUGUUCUCUUAUCUUUAUCCCCUCCAGUCUCUGCCUAAUUUUUAGUGUUUAACAACAACCGAAUGUCCAGUAAACGACUCUCCUCUGAGCUGUAAUAAAUAAAAUGGUAUUAAUGAAUGCAAUCAGUAUUAGUCAAAAUAAAGAAUUUAUGAGUCAUU